AGUGUAUGGAUCUUUAUGAAAUUGUACUACAAGGUUCCAUAUCACAAAGGGAAAGCUGGGUUUGAGUUUGGGGGUAAUUGCCCUAAACGUUUAGGAA
Mytilus californianus (California mussel) is the source of this 97-nucleotide long non-coding RNA. RefSeq lists it as uncharacterized. NCBI's taxonomy places the organism in Eukaryota, Metazoa, Mollusca, Bivalvia, Mytilida, Mytilidae. The record is from RefSeq and is a predicted model, not a curated record. The transcript has 2 exons.